UGUUCAAAGCGACUCCGAAUCGGGUGGCCUAAGGUACAAUGGUUACGGCUGCCCGAUCGGCAGGGUGCGCUCGGAAAACUGGCGUGCCUUCCGGGUUCGGAAAGGAGUCCGAAGUUGACACAC
RNAcentral lists this non-coding RNA (123 nucleotides) under Deltaproteobacteria bacterium. RNAcentral's name for it is "MoCo sequence". It matches the Rfam family "Molybdenum/Tungsten riboswitch aptamer (Moco RNA motif)". The record is from RNAcentral. Lineage: Bacteria; Pseudomonadati; Myxococcota; Myxococcia.